CGGGCUUGCAGUACAGACCUAAGAAGCCAACCUAUCAAUCUGCAUGUGUCCAGGCAGGGAGUCCUUGUCUCUCUUUGCUGGGGAAGGUGAGGCACAGAGUGAGUUGCCUGAAGUCCUCAAGGAGCAGUUGCAGGGUUGGGGAGAUCAGAGUGCAGCUGCCACCCCAGCAGGAAGGACGUCCUGCCAUGCAAAUCCUGGGCCGUGCAGACCAGCUGCUCUCAUGCAGGGACUCUGGUGAGGGAUUGGGAAGCUCCCAUUGCAAUGAGGUGUUCUGAUCCCUUGAAAAAGGCUCAGUCUUUUGGAGUGCUGCUGCUUUUGGGAUGCCUGUGCUUUCUGCAGAAAGUUGUCCCUGUCCCCUUUGCGACAUCAGCCUCCACCAUAUUUGCAGUCCAAACAACCUGAGGGCAAAUAAGGAAGGAAAACAAACAGCCAGCUGCUUUCCAUUGAGUUCACGGGUUUCUCCUGGAUAUUUUGCAAGAGUUUUGUUUAGCCCAACUCUGGCUUCCACCCUCAGUGAUGUGAAGAAGCGAAGGAGCCAUGACUGCUCUCGUGUGAGUGGCCCAGCCGUGGUGACACAGCAGCAGCAGCUCAGGUGCUGGGGUUUGAGAUGUGACCUGGUGCUACAAAACCACAGCACAGCCUCACUGAUGUCCUUUAGUUUAUUAUUCUGCUCUUUGUUCUCAAGGACCUGCAACAAACUCCACAGAAGUAAAGAGGAUCUGUUUUCUGUGUUUGGGAUUUUAGGGUAUUUUUUUGAACAAAUCGUUGCAAAUCAGCUGCUAAAAAUGUGUAUGUAAUUUCUUUAAAAAUGCAUUUCCUGUAAAAUCAGCUGGGAUUGUCACUCUCCCUGGCCUCUCUUCUCCUCUGCAGUAACCCAGCACUUUGGUACAAGAACCCUAUGGCCAUUUCUUCCUCGUUUUUUCUCAGCUAAAACAUAUCCAGAAGGACUGCUGGUUUCCUUCAGUCAGAGGGAAGACUAAUUAAAAAACAUCUUUAUUAUGCUGGUAGGACCAGCCUAUCCCUCAAACAUUCAUCUUUCCUUUAAACAGUAAGAAUGAAAAGAAGGUAGUGUUAAACCAGCAUGGUGCAGGGACUCCACACACAGGAGCAACUGCAGCUUUUUUUCUCUUCAGCUGAUCCAAAUUUUUCUGCAGAGCCUGAUUUUUGAUAGAGUGAUUAAAAAACAUUUUUGAACAAGCCUCAGAAGGCAGCAAAUUUGUUCUCAGCGCACACAUAAAUAACACCAUGAUGUCUGAAGGUCUAAAAAAUAUCUGUUAAACAUAUGUCAGCAAGAAAUAGCAUUUCCAAGGCAGCUCUGCUCUCAACUUUUCUGCUUGAAUAUUUCAACAGAAAUUAUUAGUGCGGAUUUUAUUUUAAUCAUCAUGGAGGUUUUCAAAAAGCUCCUGCUUGGUGAUUCUUUUCCUCUUUGCAAAAUGCCUUUUUUUCUUUAAGUGAAUCAUUGACAAAUUUCUUACUCAAUUUUUUUUUUUUUUUUUUUUUUUGUCACAU
Molecule: non-coding RNA, 1509 nt
Organism: Pseudopodoces humilis (Tibetan ground-tit)
Lineage: Eukaryota; Metazoa; Chordata; Aves; Passeriformes; Paridae
Source: RefSeq, a predicted model, not a curated record